RNAcentral lists this long non-coding RNA (543 nucleotides) under Daphnia pulex (common water flea). RNAcentral describes it as "uncharacterized LOC124206236". The record is from RNAcentral. Lineage: Eukaryota; Metazoa; Arthropoda; Branchiopoda; Diplostraca; Daphniidae.
UGUUCUUUAAUGGUGAAACGAGGCGAAAUGAGCGAGACAAAUUGUUGCUUAUUUAUACUUAUAUUCCUGUGAUUUCAAUUACCAAAUUGAACUUCAUAUCAUAUUUGACUUAGCGGUCAGUCAAUUUCCAUCCAAUAGACCCAUAAUGCUGUCAAAACCUAUGUUUGAAGCUCACAUAUAGUGGAAUACAAAUCUGCCGAGUUAAGGAUCUUUUCUGAAUCUCGGAAUUUUUAUGGCGUACCCUGCAAUAGCAUGUUUGUUGUUAUGGCUGUUUUUAUUUCUGUUAAGAAGGCAACCCAGCUAAGAGAUAGAGUUUCAGCGACAUGAAGAGUGUGAAGUGAACCACCUAUCACCAUGCUACUAUAACACUUCAUGACACUUUCUUUAGCAUCAGGAAAUGUAUCUCAACAUGAGGAGUAAGACUGUUUGUUCCUGUGAUUUCCAUUUUUACGGUUUUUUCAUCAUGAAAAUUGAAGUGUGCUUCUUAGAAAUGAGCACACAGUUUCUUUAUGGAAUCGUGUGGUCCUGGCACGGAGAUUCUUG